RNAcentral lists this ribosomal RNA (468 nucleotides) under uncultured bacterium. RNAcentral's name for it is "partial 16S ribosomal RNA". It matches the Rfam family "Bacterial small subunit ribosomal RNA", at positions 28 to 507 of the family's 1533-position model. The record is from RNAcentral.
GACGAACGCUGGCGGCGUGCUUAACACAUGCAAGUCGAACGGAAAGACCCUGCUUUUGUGGGGUGCUCGAGUGGCGAACGGGUGAGUAACACGUGAGUAACCUGCCCUUGACUUUGGGAUAACUUCAGGAAACUGGGGCUAAUACCGGAUAGGAGCUCCUGCUGCAUGGUGGGGGUUGGAAAGUUUCGGCGGUUGGGGAUGGACUCGCGGCUUAUCAGCUUGUUGGUGGGGUAGUGGCUUACCAAGGCUUUGACGGGUAGCCGGCCUGAGAGGGUGACCGGCCACAUUGGGACUGAGAUACGGCCCAGACUCCAACGGGAGGCAGCAGUGGGGAAUAUUGCACAAUGGGCGGAAGCCUGAUGCAGCAACGCCGCGUGCGGGAUGACGGCCUUCGGGUUGUAAACCGCUUUCGCCUGUGACGAAGCGUGAGUGACGGUAAUGGGUAAAGAAGCACCGGCUAACUACGUG